This 200-nucleotide ribosomal RNA is filed under the name uncultured bacterium. Its description in RNAcentral is "partial 16S ribosomal RNA". It matches the Rfam family "Bacterial small subunit ribosomal RNA", at positions 29 to 258 of the family's 1533-position model. The record is from RNAcentral.
AACGAACGCUGGCGGCAGGCUUAACACAUGCAAGUCGAACGCUCCGCAAGGAGAGUGGCAGACGGGUGAGUAACGCGUGGGAACCUUCCUAUUGGUUCGGAAUAGCUCAGGGAAACUUGGGGUAAUACCGGAUAAGCCCCAUGGGGGAAAGAUUUAUCGCCAAUAGAUGGGCCCGCGUCUGAUUAGCUAGUUAGUGAGGU